Molecule: ribosomal RNA, 253 nt
Filed under: uncultured bacterium
Lineage: Bacteria
Description: partial 16S ribosomal RNA
Rfam family: Bacterial small subunit ribosomal RNA
Source: RNAcentral
UACAGAGGGCUCAAGCGUUGUUCGGAUUCAUUGGGCGUAAAGGGUGCGUAGGCGGCGCGGUAAGUCGGGUGUGAAAUCUCGGAGCUUGACUCCGAAACUGCAUUCGAUACUGCCGUGCUUGAGGACUGGAGAGGAGACUGGAAUUUACGGUGUAGCGGUGAAAUGCGUAGAUAUCGUAAGGAAGACCAGUGGCGAAGGCGGGUCUCUGGACAGUUCCUGACGCUGAGGCACGAAGGUCAGGGGAGCAAACGGG